CCCUUAGAUGUCCUGGGCCGCACGCGCGUUACACUGAUGCAUUCAACGAGCUUAUAACCUUGGCCGAGAGGCCUGGGCAAUCUUGUUAACGUGCAUCGUGAUAGGGAUAGAUUAUUGAAAUUAUUAAUCUUGAACGAGGAAUUCCUAGUAAACGCAGAUCAUCAAUCUGCAUUGAUUACGUCCCUGCCCUUUGUACACUCCGCCCGUCGCACCUACCGAUUGGAUGGUCCGGUGAAGCCUCGGGAUUGUGGUUCUUGCCGCUUUAUUGUGGCGUGACCGCGAGAACUUGUCUAAACCUUAUCAUCUAGAGGAAGGUGAAGUCGUAACA
RNAcentral lists this ribosomal RNA (328 nucleotides) under uncultured eukaryote. RNAcentral's name for it is "partial 18S ribosomal RNA". It matches the Rfam family "Eukaryotic small subunit ribosomal RNA", at positions 1470 to 1796 of the family's 1831-position model. The record is from RNAcentral.